UAGUCAUAUGCUUGUCUCAAAGAUUAAGCCAUGCAUGUCUCAGUGUAAACUUUUAAACGGUGAAACUGCGAAUGGCUCAUUAAAACAGUUAUAGUUUAUUUGAUGUUCAUUCUUACAUGGAUAACCGUGGGAAUUCCAGGGCUAAUACAUGCGGCCGCAAGGCGAGUGUUUAUUAGAUUCAAACCAAAACCGUGUUAAAGCGGGUACAUUGGAAUGAUAAUAACCUAUCGAAUCGCAUGCUGUAUGGCGGCGAUAGAUCAUUCGAGUUUCUGACCUA
Molecule: ribosomal RNA, 277 nt
Filed under: uncultured eukaryote
Lineage: Eukaryota
Description: partial 18S ribosomal RNA
Rfam family: Eukaryotic small subunit ribosomal RNA
Source: RNAcentral